This 469-nucleotide ribosomal RNA is filed under the name uncultured bacterium. RNAcentral's name for it is "bacterial SSU rRNA". It matches the Rfam family "Bacterial small subunit ribosomal RNA", at positions 329 to 794 of the family's 1533-position model. The record is from RNAcentral.
CUCCAGACUCCUACGGGAGGCAGCAGUGAGGAAUAUUGGUCAAUGGACGGAAGCCUGAACCAGCCAAGUCGCGUGAGGGAUUAAGGCCCUAUGGGUCGUAAACCUCUUUUGUCAGGGAGCAAGGUCGUCCACGUGUGGGCGUAUGGAGAGUACCUGAAGAAAAAGCAUCGGCUAACUCCGUGCCAGCAGCCGCGGUAAUACGGAGGAUGCGAGCGUUAUCCGGAUUUAUUGGGUUUAAAGGGUGCGUAGGCGGACUGUUAAGUCAGGGGUAAAAGCCCGGGGCCCACCCCCGGCGAGCCGUUGAAACUGGCUGUCUUGAGAUGUCGAGAGGUAUGCGGAAUGCGCAGUGUAGCGGUGAAAUGCAUAGAUAUCACGCAGAACUCCGAUUGCGAAGGCAGCGUACCGGCGCCCAACUGACGCUGAAGCACGAAGGCGUGGGUAUCGAACAGGAUUAGAUACCCUAGUAAGU